UCUCUCUGUGGCUCAGUUGGUUAGAGCGCUGCACCGGAAUCAAAGAGCUGCAGGUUCGAUUCCUGUCAGAAGAC
Molecule: non-coding RNA, 74 nt
Organism: Paramuricea clavata
Lineage: Eukaryota; Metazoa; Cnidaria; Anthozoa; Malacalcyonacea; Plexauridae
Source: the annotation of a GenBank genome assembly